This 88-nucleotide transfer RNA is filed under the name Enterococcus faecium. Its description in RNAcentral is "tRNA-Ser". It matches the Rfam family "tRNA". From Rfam's summary of the family: Transfer RNA (tRNA) molecules are approximately 80 nucleotides in length. Their secondary structure includes four short double-helical elements and three loops (D, anti-codon, and T loops). Lineage: Bacteria; Bacillati; Bacillota; Bacilli; Lactobacillales; Enterococcaceae. The record is from RNAcentral.
GGAAGGUUGGCAGAGUGGUAAUGCACCGGACUCGAAAUCCGGUGAACCGGCUAAUACCGGCGCGCAGGUUCAAAUCCUGUACCUUCCU